Molecule: ribosomal RNA, 492 nt
Filed under: uncultured bacterium
Lineage: Bacteria
Description: bacterial SSU rRNA
Rfam family: Bacterial small subunit ribosomal RNA
Source: RNAcentral
CCUGGCUCAGAUUGAACGCUGGCGGCAUGCCUUACACAUGCAAGUCGAACGGCAGCGGACCUUCGGGUGCCGGCGAGUGGCGAACGGGUGAGUAAUAUAUCGGAACGUACCUUUCAGUGGGGUAUAACGUAGCGAAAGUUACGCUAAUACCGCAUAUUCUGUGAGCAGGAAAGCAGGGGAUCGCAAGACCUUGCGCUGAUUGAGCGGCCGAUAUCAGAUUAGCUAGUUGGUGAGGUAAAGGCUCACCAAGGCGACGAUCUGUAGCGGGUCUGAGAGGAUGAUCCGCCACACUGGAACUGAGACACGGUCCAGACUCCUACGGGAGGCAGCAGUGGGGAAUUUUGGACAAUGGGCGCAAGCCUGAUCCAGCCAUGCCGCGUGAGUGAAGAAGGCCUUCGGGUUGUAAAGCUCUUUCGGCCGGGAAGAAAUCGCACAGGUUAAUACCCUGUGUGGAUGACGGUACCGGAAUAAGAAGCACCGGCUAACUACGUG